This 73-nucleotide transfer RNA is filed under the name Camelus bactrianus (Bactrian camel). It matches the Rfam family "tRNA". Rfam says of the family: Transfer RNA (tRNA) molecules are approximately 80 nucleotides in length. Their secondary structure includes four short double-helical elements and three loops (D, anti-codon, and T loops). Lineage: Eukaryota; Metazoa; Chordata; Mammalia; Artiodactyla; Camelidae. RNAcentral also lists the same sequence under 2 other names. The record is from Rfam by way of RNAcentral.
GAGGGUAUAGCUCGAGGGGUAAAGCUCAUGCUUAGCAUGCAUGAGGUCCUGGGUUCAAUCCUCAGUAUCUCCA